GACGAACGCUGGCGGCGUGCCUAAUACAUGCAAGUUGAGCGAUGAAGCUUGGUGCUUGCACCAAUUUGAAGAGCAGCGAACGGGUGAGUAACGCGUGGGGAAUCUGCCUUUGAGCGGGGGACAACAUUUGGAAACGAAUGCUAAUACCGCAUAACAACUUUAAACAUAAGUUUUAAGUUUGAAAGAUGCAAUUGCAUCACUCAAAGAUGAUCCCGCGUUGUAUUAGCUAGUUGGUGAGGUAAGGGCUCACCAAGGCGAUGAUACAUAGCCGACCUGAGAGGGUGAUCGGCCAAAUUGGGACUGAGACACGGCCCAAACUCCUACGGGCGGCAGCAGUAGGGAAUCUUCGGCAAUGGACGAAAGUCUGACCGAGCAACGCCGCGUGAGUGAAGAAGGUUUUCGGAUCGUAAAACUCUGUUGGUAGAGAAGAACGUUGGUGAGAGUGGAAAGCUCAUCAAGUGACGGUAACUACCCAGAAAGGGACGGCUAACUACGUG
RNAcentral lists this ribosomal RNA (497 nucleotides) under uncultured bacterium. RNAcentral describes it as "partial 16S ribosomal RNA". It matches the Rfam family "Bacterial small subunit ribosomal RNA", at positions 28 to 507 of the family's 1533-position model. The record is from RNAcentral.